Long non-coding RNA from Vombatus ursinus (common wombat), 620 nucleotides. RefSeq lists it as uncharacterized. Lineage: Eukaryota; Metazoa; Chordata; Mammalia; Diprotodontia; Vombatidae. The transcript has 5 exons. The record is from RefSeq and is a predicted model, not a curated record.
AGGCAGGAGCAGCUCAGCAUAGAUCAAGGGGCACGUCCCCCUAACCACGGGGCUGGAAGACUCACAUCACUGCGCAGGGCCACCCUCUUCUCUAGCCAAAGGUAUAUUUCUUCGGCCACUUCAGCCACUUCAAUGAAUCGCACUCAGAAGAAUUGCUUGCCAGGGGCCCACGGAAGUGUGUCGACACCUCUGAUGUACUUAGCAAACAUUAAAGCCUCUAUGUAAAUAUCCCCUAUUGCCUCAAAGCAAGAACAGUUCCAAGUAAUAAUUAACGUGUGAUCAUGCCUGCAGAUGAUCAGAGUGGUGUGGACAUGGAAGCCACAGGACUUGACGAAAUCAAGGAACAAUGACACCAGGGUAUUAGAAAAACCAUCAACGAUGAAGUUUCCUACCGUUUUGCCAUAUCUGUUUUCCUCUGUGUGAUGUCAGUCAUCAUGUUCUUCACUGAAGGCUCUUCACUACUACUCUGUGAGUACUACAUUGCAAGGAAUGAAUAAAUAAAACCCAGAACGAGCCUUCAAGGUCCAGAAUGAUCAACCCUUUUCAAGCUUGAAGGGCAAAAUUUGUUCUUUCUUCUGAUUUCAGAUACUGAAAAGAGUGUCAAGUGUCUGAAGCUGGAU